Molecule: transfer RNA, 72 nt
Filed under: Rodentolepis nana
Lineage: Eukaryota; Metazoa; Platyhelminthes; Cestoda; Cyclophyllidea; Hymenolepididae
Description: Hymenolepis nana tRNA
Rfam family: tRNA
About the family: Transfer RNA (tRNA) molecules are approximately 80 nucleotides in length. Their secondary structure includes four short double-helical elements and three loops (D, anti-codon, and T loops).
Source: Rfam by way of RNAcentral
GGGGAUAUAGCUCAGUGGCAGAGCGCUCGCUUUGCAUGCGAGAGGCCCCGGGUUCGAUCUCCGGCAUCUCCA